UUGAAGUUUACCAGGAUUGGCUUCAAAAGUAAUUUGCCGAGGCAUCGACAAUGUUUCCUUUUGGAUCACCUCGCCACUCUUGUUGAUACUGAAGGAUUUCAAACAUAGCUGCUUGUAGUCCUCCAUAGCUUUUGCCAUAGCUUGCUUCUGUUCAUCUCUGAGAUUGGCUUCCGUCACGGGGAUGACGUUCUCCAAGUCAAAAUCGGUGUUCGACAUGUUGAUCUUGAUGUUGAAUCUCAGUCCCACUAGGCGUGCCAAAAGAUGUGUUGAUGCAAAAGCUGAUCUGCAAACACAAAGGGCUAAUACCCGAUUCAACAUUAAGGCGUGCCAGCCGAUUUGACCUUACAAUCGACAAAGGUGAUAACUCGAAUACUUUGGUCCCGACAACAGCGAUGCACCCAGAUGUCAUGGCCAAGAGGUAUUCACACGGAACUCGAGAACUCGCCGAGGUUGACUCGAAGAAUUCCAAAGAACUCGUAGAAAAAGAAAAUAUGCAAAUUGACGAAGUCGUCGAAAAUGUAGAUGCUGGAAUAGAUGUAAAGACUUGUAUUUGAUUGAUUGUGUAUAUUUACAUCGCUAUGGGGUCUAACAUUUAUACCCUGCCCAAAAGGGUUACAAUCAGACACGACUAGGACUUGAAUUCCAAAUUAAAUAGAAUCUGUAUACAAAACAAACUCCAACAACUAUGGAAAGCAUUAAAUUAUGUCCCACAACCGAUCGGUACACCACCAUGAAUCGAUCGACGACCCCUACGCCCUUUUUUCAUGACCAUCGGCAAACCAUCUCCCAUAGCCAUCGGCAGCCAUCAGCACCAGUCAUCGGCACGAACCCAUCACCACUCUUGGACUUGGCCAUGCUUUGUCGUUUUCUCAUCGGCACCAACCCUCAUCGGCAACUCUUCUGCAGACUAGUCACCACAUCUCUGCCUGCCGAUUUACACCUCAUUAACUCCAGAUACUCAUCCAAAGAUACGUGUCCAAAAACGGUGUCAACAGAAUGUAUGUAAUCUUUGAUGGAGAUGCUUGAUCAUGUACGAUCUUGGUUGUAUGUUAGUUGAAUUGAGAUCUUUUGAGGUUUCAUCAGAAUACCGGGUUUAUAUGGGUUCAAGUCCAUUUGCUUGACCGCUCUCAUGGUCGCUAAUUCACUUGAAUUCUCAUAAAUUAGACGGUUCUUGAGAGCACCCCCAUUUAUCCAGCUAAGUGUUUCUACUCGUGUUUAUACUUUACUCAAAUAAUAAAAAGAUGCAUAAUCAUGAAAACCCAAAUAAAAAUUUUGUGCUUAUAUAUAUCUUUGCUUAGUUUGCUAAAUAAAUAAAUAAAGUGUCUAGGCCAAACUGAACUUAAAUGAUAAACUCUUACAUGGAUAUGAUAAAUAGUUGCUCUGCCAUGUACCUAGUUUUCAAGUUUGAGCUCUCUCUCAAGUUUAGGCAUAACUGUUAUAAUAAACCUGCUCUAAACCUGAACUUGUGGGAAGAGUACUUGAUCUAAAGUCUAAGUCAUUAACGGAUAUGAUAUGGAAAGGUUGAGCAGUUAUUUAUCUGUUCCUAGAGUUGCUAGAAUUCUGGAGAAUAUUAUUUUUGAAAAUCUUUAAAAUAUUGCAUGAUGAGUUCCUAUAUGAUAAGAGUUUAAAUUCCUACCACAGCUAUACAUACAUGCUUAUUAAACUAAGAACCAUACAAUUACUUUUUACUGCUUAUGAGCAUUGAGUGUGGUCAAGCUGUGUAGACCCUUAGGAGCUUGUCAUGCGGUUAAAUUCAAGAUCCACUUGCACGUUCACUCACACAUGCUACUUCUACUCCGGAAGUAUACAUCCACAUACAUCCACUCACUUCCAUCUCCAAAUUCACCUAAAAUUAUUCUACUCCUAAUCCGGGAGAGAAUAGCCAAAAACAUUCUCCUAUUUCUGUUUUUCCCUGUGAAAUAAAUGCUCGAGUUAUCUUGGUUACUACCACUUGCUAUAUUAUUUCAUGAGAUGAGUGCUCUAAAAAAACAAAAAAAUAAAAAAAAGAAAGAGAAAGGAUAUGAGGAAAUAAAAAGGGGCAAGUGCCCGGAACCUCGAAGAAAAGAAAAAGUGAGACGAGAGGUAAAAAUGGCAAGUGUCCGAAUUAGGGGUACAAGAUACCCACCUGAGUGAAAAGAAAAAAAUAUAGAGCACCUCAUUCUCCUCAAAAAAGCUUCAAAGUGCAAGAAAGGUAAAAAGUAGAAUUAGACUUUCACCAUUGUUAUCACCAUCAUCACCAUACACCAUUCACUCGCCACACAUGCACAUCUUGAUUUGACUUAUUGACUUGUUCUUCUAGAUCCAUGGUUUGACUAUGCAAUAAAUGUCUUGUAAGUAUGUGUUAUCUUUCUCCCACCUAUGAGCUCUAGAUAUCAAAACCUUAUUAGGGUAGGGUGAGAGAGAAGGUAAUAUCACUAUGCCUCAUACUAAAAAUACCACAUACUUUGAGAGAAGGCAUAUACCAUUACUGCCUUGGAAAGGAUCUAGAAAUACAACAAAAGAGAGAUUUGAGAGAGUCAUGCAAGGAAUCUCUGAGUUUUAUUUGAAAAUCUGCAAAAACUCUAGAGUUAUAGCUGAUCAAAGAACAAGAGACAUGGCGCUUGACUAGACUGUUCUAUCUUUUAACUGCUCAAGACAUAAGUGACGGUUGCAAGCCCCAUGGUGAAAGGUAAAAUCAAUAAGUUUUAAGUCUUAACAGUUUACUCUAACUCAGAUAUGAGAUCUUGCUUGAACACAUGUGUACUUUUAAGGCAUUAAACCACUGUAGAAACUCUUGAGUCCAUCCUUACUCAGGGACGAGCAAGAGGUAAGCUUGGGGAAGUUGUUCACGGUCCUUAAGUACCAAAUAUAAUCAUCAAAUAAAUAAAGAAAAGGAUCCAAAUGCAACCAACACCCAGACUUAGGGUUUUAUCUCACAAAAUUCCACGAGUUUUGGUGUUUGUCUAUUUCUACAGGGGGUUAUCAGGAAAUAUGGAGGAAAGGCCCACAUGUUGGGUUUACAUAGAGAUAUUAAUGUGUGCGCCAAUUUUCUAUCAUCUAGAAGAGUCCAGAAGCGACAGGAACGAACACGAGGCCGAGCGGGCCUGGGGGCAGGUGAAAGCCCU
RNAcentral lists this long non-coding RNA (3104 nucleotides) under Sorghum bicolor (sorghum). Its description in RNAcentral is "long non-coding RNA (SBIC_LNC012335)". Lineage: Eukaryota; Viridiplantae; Streptophyta; Magnoliopsida; Poales; Poaceae. The record is from RNAcentral.